UUGAACGCUGGCGGCAGGCCUAACACAUGCAAGUCGCGCGGAUGAAGGGAGCUUGCUCCUGGAUUCAGCGGCGGACGGGUGAGUAAUGCCUAGGAAUCUGCCUGGUAGUGGGGGAUAACGUCCGGAAACGGGCGCUAAUACCGCAUACGUCCUGAGGGAGAAAGUGGGGGAUCUUCGGACCUCACGCUAUCAGAUGAGCCUAGGUCGGAUUAGCUAGUAGGUGGGGUAAAGGCCUACCAAGGCGACGAUCCGUAACUGGUCUGAGAGGAUGAUCAGUCACAAUGGAACUGAGACACGGUCCAGACUCCUACGGGAGGCAGCAGUGGGGAAUAUUGGACAAUGGGCGAAAGCCUGAUCCAGCCAUGCCGCGUGUGUGAAGAAGGUCUUCGGAUUGUAAAGCACUUUAAGUUGGGAGGAAGGGCAGUAAGUUAAUACCUUGCUGUUUUGACGUUACCAACAGAAUAAGCACCGGCUAACUUCGUG
This 483-nucleotide ribosomal RNA is filed under the name uncultured bacterium. RNAcentral's name for it is "partial 16S ribosomal RNA". It matches the Rfam family "Bacterial small subunit ribosomal RNA", at positions 30 to 507 of the family's 1533-position model. The record is from RNAcentral.